CCAAGGAAAAACUAAUGUACAAUAGACCAAGAUAAAACAAAUGUACAAUAGACCAAGGUAAAACUUAUGUACAAUAGACCAAGAUAAAACUAAUGUACAAUAGACCAAGAUAAAACUAAUGUACAAUAGACCAAGGUAAAACUAAUGUACAAUAGAUAAGAUAAAACUAAUGUACAAUAGACCAAGAUAAAACUAAUGUACAAUAGACCAAGGUAAAACUAAUGUAAAAGAGACCAAGGUAAAACUAAUGUAAAAGAGACCAGGGUAAAACUAAUGUAAAAGAGACCAAGGUAAAACUAAUGUAAAAGAGACCAGGGUAAAACUAAUGUAAAAGAGACUAAGAUAAGAUAAUAUAAAGUAAGUUUCUACUUACACAAUAAACUGCUGUUAUAAAACUGCAUUUUAAAAUAAAAU
Molecule: long non-coding RNA, 414 nt
Organism: Mytilus californianus (California mussel)
Lineage: Eukaryota; Metazoa; Mollusca; Bivalvia; Mytilida; Mytilidae
Exons: 3
Source: RefSeq, a predicted model, not a curated record